This 72-nucleotide transfer RNA is filed under the name Microcaldota archaeon. Its description in RNAcentral is "Candidatus Micrarchaeota archaeon (hot springs metagenome) tRNA-Thr". It matches the Rfam family "tRNA". From Rfam's summary of the family: Transfer RNA (tRNA) molecules are approximately 80 nucleotides in length. Their secondary structure includes four short double-helical elements and three loops (D, anti-codon, and T loops). Further hydrogen bonds mediate the characteristic L-shaped molecular structure. tRNAs have two regions of fundamental functional importance: the anti-codon, which is responsible for specific mRNA codon recognition, and the 3' end, to which the tRNAs corresponding amino acid is attached (by aminoacyl-tRNA synthetases). tRNAs cope with the degeneracy of the genetic code in two manners: having more than one tRNA (with a specific anti-codon) for a particular amino acid; and 'wobble' base-pairing, i.e. permitting non-standard base-pairing at the 3rd anti-codon position. The record is from RNAcentral. Lineage: Archaea; Nanobdellati; Microcaldota.
GCCCCAGUAGCUCAGCGGUAGAGCGACCGCCUCGUAAGCGGUAGGUCGUGGGUUCAACUCCCAUCUGGGGCU